UAGCAUAUCAAUAAGCGGAGGAAAAGAACCAACAGGGAUUGCCCUAGUAACGGCGAGUGAAGCGGCAACAGCUCAAAUUUGAAAUCUGGCCCUCGGGUCCGAGUUGUAAUUUGUAGAGGAUGCUUUUGGUGAGGUACCUUCCGAGUUCCCUGGAACGGGACGCCAUAGAGGGUGAGAGCCCCGUCUGGUCGGAUACCAAUCCUCUGUAAAGCUCCUUCGACGAGUCGAGUAGUUUGGGAAUGCUGCUCUAAAUGGGAGGUAUAUGUCUUCUAAAGCUAAAUAUUGGCCAGAGACCGAUAGCGCACAAGUAGAGUGAUCGAAAGAUGAAAAGCACUUUGAAAAGAGGGUUAAACAGUACGUGAAAUUGUUGAAAGGGAAGCGCUUGUGACCAGACUUGGGCCCGGUUAAUCAUCCAGCGUUCUCGCUGGUGCACUUGGCCGGCCCAGGCCAGCAUCAGUUCGGUGUGGGGGAUAAAGGCGGCGGGAAUGUGGCUCCUCCGGGAGUGUUAUAGCCCACCGUGUAAUACCCUGUGCUGGACUGAGGUUCGCGCAUUCGCAAGGAUGCUGGCGUAAUGGUCAUUAGCGACCCGUCUUGAAACACGGACCAAGGAGUCGUCUUCGUAUGCGAGUGUUCGGGUGUUAAACCCCUACGCGUAAUGAAAGUGAACGCAGGUGAGAGCUUCGGCGCAUCAUCGACCGAUCCUGAUGUUCUCGGAUGGAUUUGAGUAAGAGCAUACGGGGCCGGACCCGAAAGAAGGUGAACUAUGCCUGUAUAGGGUGAAGCCAGAGGAAACUCUGGUGGAGGCUCGCAGCGGUUCUGACGUGCAAAUCGAUCGUCAAAUAUGGGCAUGGGGGCGAAAGACUAAUCGAACCUUCUAGUAGCUGGUUUCCGCCGA
RNAcentral lists this ribosomal RNA (895 nucleotides) under Fusarium merismoides. Its description in RNAcentral is "LSU rRNA". It matches the Rfam family "Eukaryotic large subunit ribosomal RNA", at positions 36 to 964 of the family's 3401-position model. The record is from RNAcentral. Lineage: Eukaryota; Fungi; Ascomycota; Sordariomycetes; Hypocreales; Nectriaceae.